RNAcentral lists this unclassified non-coding RNA (315 nucleotides) under Hevea brasiliensis (rubber tree). Lineage: Eukaryota; Viridiplantae; Streptophyta; Magnoliopsida; Malpighiales; Euphorbiaceae. The record is from RNAcentral.
AAACAAAUCCACCAACUGUUUCUUGAGACGAUCAAUCUCCGUUAACUCCUUAGGCUUGUCCUCCUCAACCAGCCCAACCGUAGAGGCAGAACCAGAGCCAUCCUCAUCUGGACCCCAUUCGUCGUCAUCUUCCACGGCCCGAACCAAGAAGAGGGGCCUUAGCUUGAUAGGAUAUGUGGUGAGAAGUCUUGAUUUGGAGGUUGAGUUGGCGGUGUUGAUUGAGCAAAAAAGAGGAAUUGAGGGUGUGGAAGUGGAUUGAGAGUUAGGAGUUGGACGAGGCGUAGAGCUAGAGAGAGUGUUGCACGGAAAUCGAUU